AUGGCUCUUCAGGCGGCCACUUCCUUCCUCCCGUCGGCCCUCUCCGCGCGCAAGGAGGGAGCGGCCAAGGACUCUGCCUUCUUCCGCGUUUGUCUCGCCGAUGGCCUCAAAUUCGACACCACCUCCCUCGGCCUGCGCACCAAGACUGUGGAACGUGCUCUGUUAGUCGCCGCUCGUUCUGACCGACAUGCGUGUCACGAACCUACACAGAGGGUGAACACGUCGUCGGUGGCCAUCCGCGCGCAGGCCGCGGCGGUGUCCGCGCCGACCGCGACCCCGGCGUCGCCGUCCGGCAAGAAGACCGUCCGCACGGGCAACGCGAUCAUCACGGGCGCGUCGUCGGGCCUCGGCCUCGCCACGGCCAAGGCCCUGGCGGAGUCAGGCAAGUGGCACGUCAUCAUGGCGUGCCGCGACUACCUCAAGACCGCGCGCGCGGCCAGGGCGGCCGGCAUGCCCAAGGGCAGCUACACCAUCGUGCACCUGGACCUGGCCUCCCUCGACAGCGUCCGCCAGUUCGUCAAGAACGUGCGCCAGCUCGACAUGCCCAUCGACGUCGUUGUCUGCAACGCCGCCGUGUACCAGCCCACCGCCAAGGAGCCUUCCUUCACCGCGGACGGCUUCGAGAUGAGCGUCGGCGUCAACCACCUCGGCCACUUCCUCCUCGCCCGCGAGCUCCUCGAGGACCUCAAGGCCUCCGACUACCCCUCCAAGCGCCUCAUCAUCGUCGGCUCCAUCACCGGGAACACGAACACGCUUGCCGGGAACGUGCCGCCGAAGGCGAACCUGGGGGACCUGAGGGGCCUGGCGGCCGGGCUGAACGGCGUGGGCAGUGCUGCCAUGAUUGACGGCGCGGAGUUCGACGGCGCCAAGGCGUACAAGGACAGCAAGGUGUGCAACAUGCUGACCAUGCAGGAAUUCCACCGGCGGUACCACGAGGAGACCGGCGUGACCUUCGCGUCGCUCUACCCGGGGUGCAUCGCCACCACGGGGCUCUUCCGUGAGCACAUCCCGCUGUUCCGCCUCCUCUUCCCGCCUUUCCAGAAGUACAUCACCAAGGGAUACGUGUCUGAGGAGGAGGCCGGCAAGAGGUUGGCGCAGGUCGUCAGCGAGCCCAGCCUCACCAAGUCCGGCGUCUACUGGAGCUGGAACAAGAACUCGGCGUCCUUCGAGAACCAGCUCUCCGAGGAGGCCAGCGACACUGAGAAGGCCAGGAAGGUAUGGGAGCUCAGCGAGAAGCUCGUCGGACUCGCAUGA
Molecule: ribosomal RNA, 1254 nt
Filed under: Triticum aestivum (bread wheat)
Lineage: Eukaryota; Viridiplantae; Streptophyta; Magnoliopsida; Poales; Poaceae
Description: partial small subunit ribosomal RNA
Source: RNAcentral